Molecule: long non-coding RNA, 456 nt
Organism: Pteropus alecto (black flying fox)
Lineage: Eukaryota; Metazoa; Chordata; Mammalia; Chiroptera; Pteropodidae
Exons: 3
Source: RefSeq, a predicted model, not a curated record
GAGCUGACACUAGGUGGUGCCUGAUCCACGGCACGGACGGCUAAGGUUUUCGAGUCCAGCCGAAUUCUGAGAAGCCAGGCUAGUGGCUGAGCACAGAACUUCCAAAAGAUUCCAUAGCAUCAGGAUAACCAUAUACUGUCUGCAUCAUGUCGGCUUCUAUGCAUUCCUUCCAGGACUGAGGCGGCACUUCAGCAGAAAAUCCAAGAUCCCGACUUGACUAAGGCAGAGGAAGAAAGAGCUCCAUGAAAUCCCAAUAGGCAGGGCCUAUGACCCUCAGCAGUAAGCAGAUACAGAAGAGACCUCGCAUCUCUUAACAUCCAUACUAAUAAAAAGGGGCUUCAUGGCUCUUAGAAAAGAGUUAGGCAGGAAAGUUAGGGGGUUUCAGGUCUGCAUGCAAAAACACUGAAGUCAUCCUAUCCUAGAAGUAGUCCACUCUAAUCCACCCACAAUUAAGCA